ACGUAGGGAGCGAGCGUUGUCCGGAAUUACUGGGCGUAAAGGGUGCGUAGGCGGCAUAGCAAGUCAGAUGUGAAAUCCCCGGGCUUAACUCGGGGGCUGCAUUUGAAACUGCUUUGCUUGAGUACAGGAGAGGAAAGCGGAAUUCCUAGUGUAGCGGUGAAAUGCGUAGAUAUUAGGAGGAACACCAGUGGCGAAGGCGGCUUUCUGGACUGUCACUGACGCUGAGGCGCGAGAGCGUGGGGAGCAAACAG
This 251-nucleotide ribosomal RNA is filed under the name uncultured prokaryote. RNAcentral's name for it is "partial 16S rRNA". It matches the Rfam family "Bacterial small subunit ribosomal RNA", at positions 525 to 775 of the family's 1533-position model. The record is from RNAcentral.